This 649-nucleotide ribosomal RNA is filed under the name uncultured eukaryote. RNAcentral describes it as "eukaryotic LSU rRNA". The stretch from base 216 to 370 matches the Rfam family "5.8S ribosomal RNA". The record is from RNAcentral.
ACUAGUGAUUUCCGUAGGUGAACCUGCGGAAGGAUCAUUAACACGAAUCCAUUUCACACCAUAACCGUAAACGUGGGUCAGUGGAGGGAGCAAUCCUGAUGCUGUCCCGUCCUCACUGUCGGGCUGCGGCUUUUGUUCGUAGCUUAGGCUUUGGGGCGUUUAACCCUUUUUUUCACACCAUUGUAUUGUGUUGAAAUGUCUAUCAUUUUAAUCACAACUUUUAACGGUGGAUGCCUCGGCUCGAGUAUCGAUGAAGGACGCAGCAAAAUGCGAUAAGCACUGCGAAUGGCAGAAUUUCGAGAAUCAAUAGAAUGCUGAACGCAUACUGCACUUUCGGUUCACCACUGAAAGUAUGUCUGGUUCAGGGCGUUUAUACUUUACUGCAAUCAAAUACGCUAACGCAAGUUAGUUAUUCGAUUCGCGUUCUUGUGUGCCAGCGUCAUGUCAAGUGUUCGCUCACCGUUGGCACAUUAAAUCAAGUAGUUGAUUCCAACUAAUUAAGCUACCGCUUAGUGUUGAGUUCUCUCUUCUUAGUGGUGUUUGAUUUGGAAUGUAUAGGGCUACUCUAGCAAACUCUUGAAGCGUUUCGCUUCAAUUUGUUUUCGCAUGAACUCAGACAGGGCUACCCGCUGAAUUUAAGCAUAUCAAU